Molecule: transfer RNA, 77 nt
Filed under: Peptoniphilus sp. ING2-D1G
Lineage: Bacteria; Bacillati; Bacillota; Tissierellia; Tissierellales; Peptoniphilaceae
Description: tRNA-His (GTG) (tRNA-His-GTG-1-1)
Rfam family: tRNA
About the family: Transfer RNA (tRNA) molecules are approximately 80 nucleotides in length. Their secondary structure includes four short double-helical elements and three loops (D, anti-codon, and T loops).
Source: RNAcentral
GUGGGUAUGGCCUAGUUGGUUAUGGCGCAAGAUUGUGGCUCUUGAGGUCGUGGGUUCGAAUCCCACUAUCCACCCCA